Molecule: ribosomal RNA, 1745 nt
Filed under: Karoocapsus trifasciatus
Lineage: Eukaryota; Metazoa; Arthropoda; Insecta; Hemiptera; Miridae
Description: SSU rRNA
Rfam family: Eukaryotic small subunit ribosomal RNA
Source: RNAcentral
GCUUGUCUCAAAGCUUAAGCCAUGCAAGUCUCAGUACAAACUGCAUUAAAGUGAAACCGCAAAAGGCUCAGUAAACCAGUCAUGAUUUACAUGAGUAAACGUGACUGUCUUUGGAUAACUGUGGUAAUCCUAGAGCUAAUACAUGCAAUCAAGUCCCGACCAGUUCCACUGGGAAGGACGCUUUUAUUAGAUCAAGACCAAUCGCCUGGCUCCGGUCGGGCGUUUCCUUGGUGACUCUAGGUAACACAUCAGAUCGCACGGUCUCGCACCGGCGACUCAUCCUUCAAAUGCCUGACUUAUCAACUGACGAUGGUAGACUCCAUGUCUACCAUGGUGAUAACGGGUAACGGGGAAUCAGGGUUCGAUUCCGGAGAGGGAGCCUGAGAAACGGCUACCACAUCCAAGGAAGGCAGCAGGCACGCAAAUUACCCACUCCCGGCACGGGGAGGUAGUGACAAAAAAUAACGAUACGGGACUCAUUUGAGGCCCCGUAAUCGGAAUGAGUACACUUUAAAUCCUUUAACGAGGAUCCAUUGGAGGGCAAGUUCGGUGCCAGCAGCCGCGGUAAUUCCGACUCCAAUAGCGUAUAUUAAAGUUGUUGCGGUUAAAAAGCUCGUAGUUGGUUCUGCGUGCCACGCUGUCGGUUCACCGCCUGCCGGUGCUACUGGCAUGCCGUGGCAUGUCCUGUCGGUGGGUGUCUGGGGCCCCGUGCGGGCGGCAGGAGGCCGGGCUUGCUCGCGCUCCUCCCUGCACGUCGGCGGGUUCACUCCGGCUCCCUACUAUCCUACCUAGGUGCUCUUCACCGAGUGUCGAGGUAGGCCGACACGUUUACUUUGAACAAAUCAGAGUGCUCAAAGCAGGCUGAAUAAUUCUGCCUGAAUGAUGGCGCAUGGAAUAAUAAAACAGGACCUUGGUUCUAUUUUGUUGGUUCUUAAGAUCACAAGGUAAUGAUCAAUACGGACAGGCGGGGGCAUUCGUAUUGCGGGGUUAGAGGUGAAAUUCUUGGAUCCUCGCAAGACGACCGAGAGCGAAAGCAUUUGCCAAGGUAUGGUUGCAAAGCUGAAACUUAAAGGAAUUGACGGAAGGGCACCACCAGGAGUGGAGCCUGCGGCUUAAUUUGACUCAACACGGGAAACCUCACCAGGUCAGGACAUUGUCAGGAUUGACAGAUUGAUAGCUCUUUCUUGAUUCAGUGGGUAGUGGUGCAUGGCCGUUCUUAGUUGGUGGAUCGAUUUGUCUGGUUAAUUCCGAUAACGAACGAGACUCUAGCCUAUUAACUAGACGGUUCGGGAGCCCACGUCUCCCGCGAAGUUCACUCUUCUUAAGGGGACAGGCGGCUUAUAGUCGCACGAGAUUGAGCAAUAACAGGUCUGUGAUGCCCUUAGAUGUCCUGGGCCGCACGCGCGCUACAAUGAAAGAAUCAGCGUGUGUCUCCCAGCCCGAGAGGGCCGGGUAAUCCGCUGAACCUCUUUCGUGCUUGGGAUUGUAGCUUGCAAUUGUUCUUCAUGAACGAGGAAUUCCCAGUAAGCGCGAGUCAUAAGCUCGCGUUGAUUACGUCCCUGCCCUUUGUACACACCGCCCGUCGCUACUACCGAUUGAAUGAUUUAGUGAGGUCUUCGGACCGGCGGGAAAUCCCUACGGUUUCGGCCGUAUCGACGAACGCUGGGAAGAUGACCAAACUUGAUCAUUUAGAGGAAGUAAAAGUCGUAACAAGGUUUCCGUAGGUGAACCUGCGGAAGGGAUCA